UACGUAGGUGGCAAGCGUUGUCCGGAUUUACUGGGCGUAAAGAGCGCGCAGGCGGUCAGAUAAGUCGAAUGUGAAAGCCCCCGGCUCAACUGGGGAGGGUCAUUCGAUACUGUUCGACUCGAAGGCAGGAGAGGGAAGUGGAAUUCCCGGUGUAGUGGUGAAAUGCGUAGAUAUCGGGAGGAACACCAGUGGCGAAGGCGACUUCCUGGCCUGUUCUUGACGCUGAGGCGCGAAAGCUAGGGGAGCAAACGGGG
RNAcentral lists this ribosomal RNA (254 nucleotides) under uncultured bacterium. Its description in RNAcentral is "partial 16S ribosomal RNA". It matches the Rfam family "Bacterial small subunit ribosomal RNA", at positions 524 to 777 of the family's 1533-position model. The record is from RNAcentral.